UGCACUAGUUAGUCUAUGUGAAGCACUUUAUCUCUCUGAGAUCAUUUUGAGUAAAGUUUAUAAAUGGCAUCUUGUUAAGGUCCUCAUUACUCUGGUCUGGUUAAUAUACUCCUGUGAAUCACUUACUAGCCAUCGUUAUUAACUGCCAACGUUCAAAUCCCAGUUCUGCUCUUUACCAGUUGUGUGAUUCUGGACAGGGUGUCACCAGUUUACAUUAACAAGACAGGGCGAGGAGGUGGGGUUAGAUGAGAAUGUGGAAGAAAUCACGAGCAUAACCAGAGGUGAACCAAGGAGAGAGAAAGGGUACUGAGAAAAAUCAAGCUUGUGGAGGAAAGCAAAAGUAAAGGAAGCGAAGAAAUAGGCUUAAUGACAGAGACGUAGUGUUUGCUCAAGACAUCUACAACAUGAAAAGAAUGUAAAUCCAGAACUAUCGAUACAAUUAACAUUGGAAACACAAGAGUUGGAAAAGAGAAAGUCGUCCAAGAAUAAAUUUGUAAAUUUCAAGUCCAUCAUAAACUAAUAAAAUAAG
Long non-coding RNA from Panthera uncia (snow leopard), 529 nucleotides. RefSeq lists it as uncharacterized. NCBI's taxonomy places the organism in Eukaryota, Metazoa, Chordata, Mammalia, Carnivora, Felidae. The record is from RefSeq and is a predicted model, not a curated record. The transcript has 4 exons.